CACACACACACGCAGAGUCUUUUGAAUUCUGCGUUCGUCAAAUGGGAGCAGAUGAGGCCCGCGCGCUGGUGGUCGUCUCGGAGGACGGACGGACGGGCGGAUGACCGAGGACCUGCGGACUCCAGGUAGCAAGCAUGCGUGUCUGUGCCGCGUUUCCGAGCGACUCUUAUCAAAUAUGACAGCAUCAUCAAACACGAUGACGAUCAUGUGCGCGCUUGUGUCUUCCACAUGGGGGGGAGGGCCCAGGGAGGUCUUUAUGUCAAAGCCCAUCGAAGAACCCACCCAUCCAUCCAUCCAUCCAUUUUCGAACCCGCUUCUCCUCAGGAGCGUUGCGGGUGUGCCAGAGCCUCUCCCGGCCGUCUUCAAGCAGUAGGCGGGGGACACCCUGAACCGGUUGCCAGCCCAUCGCGGGGCACGCAUAGAC
This is a long non-coding RNA of Hippocampus comes (tiger tail seahorse), 424 nucleotides long. RefSeq lists it as uncharacterized. Lineage: Eukaryota; Metazoa; Chordata; Actinopteri; Syngnathiformes; Syngnathidae. The transcript has 2 exons. The record is from RefSeq and is a predicted model, not a curated record.